UACGUAGGAGGCAAGCGUUGUUCGGAAUUACUGGGCGUAAAGGGCUCGUAGGCGGCCAACUAAGUCAGACGUGAAAUCCCUCGGCUUAACCGGGGAACUGCGUCUGAUACUGGGUGGCUUGAGUUUGGGAGAGGGAUGCGGAAUUCCUGGUGUAGCGGUGAAAUGCGCAGAUAUCAGGAGGAACACCGGUGGCGAAGGCGGAUCUCUGGGCCAUUACUGACGCUGAGGAGCGAAAGCGUGGGGAGCGAACAGG
Molecule: ribosomal RNA, 253 nt
Filed under: uncultured bacterium
Lineage: Bacteria
Description: partial 16S ribosomal RNA
Rfam family: Bacterial small subunit ribosomal RNA
Source: RNAcentral